ACUGGCGGUAGCCAACCUUGGCGCGUUGCAGCGCCGCUUCCAGUGCGGCGUCGGUGUCGAACGGGUAGGUGCCGAUCUGCUCGCCGCUG
This 89-nucleotide transfer RNA is filed under the name Pseudomonas putida. RNAcentral describes it as "tRNA-Trp(cca)". Lineage: Bacteria; Pseudomonadati; Pseudomonadota; Gammaproteobacteria; Pseudomonadales; Pseudomonadaceae. The record is from RNAcentral.